This 440-nucleotide ribosomal RNA is filed under the name uncultured bacterium. RNAcentral describes it as "partial 16S ribosomal RNA". It matches the Rfam family "Bacterial small subunit ribosomal RNA", at positions 338 to 795 of the family's 1533-position model. The record is from RNAcentral.
CCUACGGGAGGCAGCAGUGGGGAAUAUUGCACAAUGGGGGAAACCCUGAUGCAGCGACGCCGCGUGAGUGAAGAAGUAUUUCGGUACGUAAAGCUCUAUCAGUAGGGAAGUAAAUGACGGUACCUGACUAAGAAGCUCCGGCUAACUACGUGCCAGCAGCCGCGGUAAUACGGAGGGGGCAAGCGUUAUCCGGAUUUACUGGGUGUAAGGGGAGCGUAGACGGCUGCGCAAGUCUGGAGUGAAAUUCCAUGGCUUAACCAUGAAACUGCAUUGGAAACUGUGCAGCUAGAGUGCAGGAGAGGUAAGCGGAAUUCCUAGUGUAGCGGUGAAAUGCGUAGAUAUUAGGAAGAACACCAGUGGCGAAGGCAGCUUACUGGACUGUAACUGACAUUGAGGCUCGAAAGCGUGGGUAGCAAACAGGAUUAGAUACCCUAGUAGUC